Molecule: ribosomal RNA, 429 nt
Filed under: Chloroflexota bacterium
Lineage: Bacteria; Bacillati; Chloroflexota
Description: Chloroflexi bacterium partial 16S ribosomal RNA
Rfam family: Bacterial small subunit ribosomal RNA
Source: RNAcentral
UGGGGAAUAUUGCACAAUGGGCGCAAGCCUGAUGCAGCCAUGCCGCGUGUGUGAAGAAGGCCUUCGGGUUGUAAAGCACUUUCAGCGGGGAGGAAGGCGAUAAGGUUAAUAACCUUGUCGAUUGACGUGACCCGCAGAAGAAGCACCGGCUAACUCCGUGCCAGCAGCCGCGGUAAUACGGAGGGUGCAAGCGUUAAUCGGAAUUACUGGGCGUAAAGCGCACGCAGGCGGUCUGUCAAGUCGGAUGUGAAAUCCCCGGGCUCAACCUGGGAACUGCAUCUGAUACUGGCAAGCUUGAGUCUCGUAGAGGGGGGUAGAAUUCCAGGUGGAGCGGUGAAAUGCGUAGAGAUCUGGAGGAAUACCGGUGGCGAAGGCGGCCCCCUGGACAAAGACUGACGCUCAGGUGCGAAAGCGUGGGGAGCAAACAGG